This 800-nucleotide long non-coding RNA is filed under the name Homo sapiens (human). RNAcentral describes it as "non-protein coding lnc-APOBEC3A-3:1". The record is from RNAcentral. Lineage: Eukaryota; Metazoa; Chordata; Mammalia; Primates; Hominidae.
GCAAUUGCCGGCCGACCCGAUGGGUGCCCGGCUUGUGGGCACGCUGCGGCCUUACGCUUAUCACCCCCCCUCACAUCUUGCCGGCGCCCGAUCGCUGACACCCUCUCCUUGCCUCUUAAUCCCCACGCGAGUCUCGCCAGGCCCCGGGCGGAGAAGGGCUGUGGAGCCCGAGUCUCGCCGCCACCGCGCAUCUCCCGCAGCAGCCUGCAAACAGUUAAAUAUGAUGCAGCAGAAAUGCAGUUGCUGUUGCCUUGCCAGGCCUUGCGGGAAUUUCUUUAAAACAUCGCCCCCCACCCAUUAUUUAUGUAUUCGUGGGAGGGUGGUUUUGUAACCAGUUCAGAAGAGUUAAAACAAAAACGCCACCGCAGGAAGGGGGUGUGCGGCGAAUGGGGCCGAGGAAGGCCGGAGUGACCGUGGGCAUCUGUCUGCGGCCGGGGUCUCGGGCGGCACCUGUCCUCGCCCAGGAGACCGGGGAGGAUUCGGCGGGGCCGGUGUGGCAGUGGGGGAGGGAGAGGGACCGCGGGCAGGAACGGGCUCCCCGCACUCCGCCUUGGGCCCACAGCGGGUCAUCAUCUGGUCAUUCGGCAGAAACCGCCUUCGCGGUCAUAUCUGUGUUUUCCGAUUCCCAGCACCCCUCCCGGCCCCCCGACCUGGCCGCGUCCCUCUCCCCGCCCGCAGCUGCGCGAAGCUUCCGCCAUUGCUCUGGGGAGCCCAGAUCCCAGCUUCCCACUUGAGGAGGGGCGGGGGAUCGAGCUGGGGCUGUCCAGGAACGGACACACAAAAAAUAGCCCUGCCGCGCA